UACGAAGGGUGCAAGCGUUGUUCGGAUUUAUUGGGCGUAAAGCGCGCGCAGGCGGAUUGGUAAGUCAGAUGUGAAAUCCCGGGGCUCAACCUCGGAACUGCGUCUGAAACUAUCAAUCUAGAGUCUCGGAGAGGAAAGUGGAAUUUCGCAUGUAGGGGUAAAAUCCGUAGAGAUGCGAAGGAACACCAGUGGCGAAGGCGACUUUCUGGACGAGUACUGACGCUGAGGCGCGAAAGCGUGGGGAGCAAACAGG
Molecule: ribosomal RNA, 253 nt
Filed under: uncultured bacterium
Lineage: Bacteria
Description: partial 16S ribosomal RNA
Rfam family: Bacterial small subunit ribosomal RNA
Source: RNAcentral